GGAGAUAAUCAAGUCAUAGCCAACUCUUCUGGAAGGGUAAUGGAUUCACUGGAUUACAGUCUGGUCUAAGAAUCUCAAAUUCAGAAACUAUGAAACUUCAAUGUGGCUGAAGAACUGUUAUCCCUCUGCAGUACAUGGGGGUUUGAGCUCACGUCAACGUGCCUGACCUAAGGGCAAAUGGAGCUGAGCAGGAGGGAGAAUUAGACACCUGCCUCUACUUGCCACGGCUUGGAGACAGGGUCUACUGCUCUUGGCUGAACCAGAGGAAAGAAAACACUGGCUCCUGAAACGUCGCAGGAAGACAAGGUGAGAGCUGCUGACUGCCCAUCACUACUCACAGCA
RNAcentral lists this non-coding RNA (342 nucleotides) under Pongo abelii (Sumatran orangutan). The record is from RNAcentral. Lineage: Eukaryota; Metazoa; Chordata; Mammalia; Primates; Hominidae.